CUAGACUUUAUCCUAACUUGAUCUGUGUGUCUUAUUGACAGCUGGCGGCUCUGGAAUACACAGACCAAUCUCCAAAAAGCCAGAAAGUGGAGCAAACUACAAAUCUAAGAAAGGAAAAGGCGACGUGAAACAGAAAGGCAAGAACGAUCCGUUUGCAUAUAUACCUCUAAACAAAGCCACCCUUAACCGAAGCUCUUAGGAAAAAAAGCAAAGAUGCAAGGCCAGUUUAAAGGCCUGGUGAGAGCGGCACAAAGAGGGGCACAGAGUGGACUGAAAAAGAGAAAAGACAGGAGGCUUUAAGGUUUCAUCCUCAAAGUGCAAGAAUGUGUUUGAUGCAGGGUGUGUAAUGGGGAGCCAGCAACCUCUCUUGAGCCGCUCACCCCCUAGGAAGAGGUGCAUUGCUCUGCCAUUUACUCUGGGAAACUGCCUUUAUAAGGAUUACCUGGAAAACCAAGAAAAGGAGUGAUUAAUUUAUCACUUAAUCAUUGUGACAUAUAAGCUGCCAUGGAUUCUCUAUCAAAUACAACCCAUUUAAAUACAAUACCUUUUUGUAAUUUUUCGAGUGAUGCAAGUGAAAUAGUUUUCCCUUUCCUCAGGAAAUGUCAUUUUCCCACUCGGCAUUAGAGCUGUUAAUGCUACGGUGAGAUCUGCAUAUUUAGAAAAAAAAGUUUUCAUGCCUUCCAACAAUAGCAGUCAGAGAGCCAAUAUUCUAGGCUUUUUAUGAUUUUGAGUCAUGGAUCCUGAUUUAAAUCCAAGAUGAGUGGGAUGUUACAUGAAAACUGCUUUUCAGGAUGACUGUUCCCAUUGAGAUAUCUGUUAUCAAUCUCGUUUCCAACAGCACGGGGGCAUGCAGGUCACACAAAGAACAAUGGGCAACACUUAAUGGAUGAAUUGGCGCUCCUCUCUUUACCUAACAGGUCAAACCAUACAAGGCUGUAUGUGGGUUGUACCAGCAAAGAUUCAG
Long non-coding RNA from Xenopus tropicalis (tropical clawed frog), 964 nucleotides. RefSeq lists it as uncharacterized. The transcript has 3 exons. Lineage: Eukaryota; Metazoa; Chordata; Amphibia; Anura; Pipidae. The record is from RefSeq and is a predicted model, not a curated record.